This is a long non-coding RNA of Homarus americanus (American lobster), 595 nucleotides long. RefSeq lists it as uncharacterized. NCBI's taxonomy places the organism in Eukaryota, Metazoa, Arthropoda, Malacostraca, Decapoda, Nephropidae. The transcript has 3 exons. The record is from RefSeq and is a predicted model, not a curated record.
UCGUGUGUGUGUCUGUUGAAACACAUUAUGGGCGGAGAGUGUAAUGAAGUGACCUUAGUACUGUACUCUGGUAUAAGUGUACUGUCAAAGUGGAUGUGAUUCUUCGUGGAAGUUUUUUAAUACCAUUGUUGAUGUUUGAGAAUUUGUUUAUGUCAGUGGUAUUUUAGACGAGAAUUUAAUAUUAAAAGAAAUCCAAAAUAUCAACAGAAUACUCUAGAAAAGUUUGAUAUGUGAGAACCUUGAUGUCGCUCUCAGUGAAGAAUAAUAAAAUAAAUAUAAACUCCAGUGUGUCAUGAGAGUGAGCAUAAAGUGUGUGGUGUUCCCAUAAGUGUUCCUUUAAGUGUGAGUGAACUCUUCUUGAUAAAGUCUUCAAGUGGAUAAGUGGACGUGUUUUAAGAUGCCAGCACCUGAACACGAGCGACGCUACAGAGUGGGCGAGGGUGGCGGGGAGAAGCAGCCAUUCCUCGGGGGGGUGGAGCCAGUGCGUCUCACCCCCUCCUGGGAGAACACCAACCUGCCGAAGGAGGAACUCAACUUCAAGAAUGUUAACACCUUCGAGACGUUUGAGGUCGAUAUGGAGCCUCCCAGGGAUAGG